RNAcentral lists this ribosomal RNA (305 nucleotides) under uncultured Streptococcus sp. RNAcentral describes it as "bacterial SSU rRNA". It matches the Rfam family "Bacterial small subunit ribosomal RNA", at positions 1074 to 1382 of the family's 1533-position model. Lineage: Bacteria; Bacillati; Bacillota; Bacilli; Lactobacillales; Streptococcaceae. The record is from RNAcentral.
GUUGGGUUAAGUCCCGCAACGAGCGCAACCCCUAUUGUUAGUUGCCAUCAUUCAGUUGGGCACUCUAGCGAGACUGCCGGUAAUAAACCGGAGGAAGUGGGAUGACGUCAAAUCAUCAUGCCCCUUAUGACCUGGGCUACACACGUGCUACAAUGGUUGGUACAACGAGUUGCGAGUCGGUGACGGCGAGCUAAUCUCUUAAAGCCAAUCUCAGUUCGGAUUGUAGGCUGCAACUCGCCUACAUGAAGUCGGAAUCGCUAGUAAUCGCGGAUCAGCACGCCGCGGUGAAUACGUUCCCGGGCCUU